AUUGAACGCUGGCGGCAGGCCUAACACAUGCAAGUCGAACGAGUGGCGGACGGGUGAGCAAUGUCUGGGAAACUGCGUGAUGGAGGGGGAUAACUACUGGAAACGGUAGCUAAUACCGCAUACCAUCAGAUGUGUCCAGAUGGGAUUAGCUUGUUGGUGGGGUAAAGGCUCACCAAGGCGACGAUCCCUAGUUGGUCUGAGAGGAUGCCCAGCCACACUGGAACUGAGACACGGUGCAGACUCCUACGGGAGGCAGCAGUGGGGAAUAUUGGACAAUGGGCGCAAGCCUGAUGCAGCCAUGCCGCGUGUAUGAAGAAGGCCUUCGGAUUGUAAAGUACUUUCAGCGGGGAGGCGUUACCCUCAGAAUAAGCACCGGCUAACUCCGUGCCAGCCGCCGCGGUAAUAC
Molecule: ribosomal RNA, 406 nt
Filed under: uncultured bacterium
Lineage: Bacteria
Description: partial 16S ribosomal RNA
Rfam family: Bacterial small subunit ribosomal RNA
Source: RNAcentral